RNAcentral lists this ribosomal RNA (253 nucleotides) under uncultured bacterium. Its description in RNAcentral is "partial 16S ribosomal RNA". It matches the Rfam family "Bacterial small subunit ribosomal RNA", at positions 524 to 776 of the family's 1533-position model. The record is from RNAcentral.
UACAGAGGUCCCAAGCGUUGUUCGGAUUCACUGGGCGUAAAGGGUGCGUAGGCGGUCGGGUAAGUCUGACGUGAAAUCUUCAAGCUCAACUUGGAAACUGCGUCGGAUACUAUUCGGCUAGAGGAAUGGAGGGGAGACUGGAAUACUUGGUGCAGCAGUGAAAUGCGUAGAUAUCAAGUGGAACACCAGUGGCGAAGGCGAGUCUCUGGACAUUUCCUGACGCUGAGGCACGAAAGCCAGGGGAGCAAACGGG